GUGAUCAGGGUGCUUGGGGUGGUGGUUGUGGUCAGGGCGAAGGUUGAGGGGAGGGAUCUAGACAGCCUGGCCAUAUUGUUUUUGGAAAGAGCGCUAUACAAUGUUAAUUUCUUCACUGAUGAGUCAAUGGAUGAAUGAAAGGAUGUCUUCUUUAAACUGCUGCACGUUGGUGGGAUAUGAUGCUAGAAGGGACCUCAGGGAUGAUUCCAGGCCAGAAUGUUGACGGCUCCCAACCAAAGAGAAAAAUUCAGAUUAUAGACAUGUUUUCCCAGGACAUGCACUCAUAAAUCUGUAUCAGUCACUAACAAUCUCGGGAUGAACAAGUUCACUAUUGUCGACUUUGGAAACUAGCUAGGAGCUGGAAUUCUGAUGGGGAAAUAAACAUCAUUUUAGAUCCAGGAAGUUCAGAAUGAAAAUGAAAAAGCAGAUCUAGAUGGAAUGCUUCUAGAAGGCAAAGGAAGGUGCAGUGGACAGAGGUGGUGUCCAGGC
This 489-nucleotide long non-coding RNA is filed under the name Homo sapiens (human). RNAcentral's name for it is "HSALNT0357006". Lineage: Eukaryota; Metazoa; Chordata; Mammalia; Primates; Hominidae. The record is from RNAcentral.